GGAUAGAGGUUGCGUAUUCUAAUAGUAACUCAUGGGAUGCAGCAGAGCAGGUGAGCAUGAGAGAAAGGAGGAUACGCCGAAAGGGUGUAUGACUGCAGCAUAUUUCCUUGGGCAUAAGUUUAAGAGGCUUAUGACUGUCAUCUUGGAGAAGAUGGGGCGCUAUC
This 164-nucleotide non-coding RNA is filed under the name pig gut metagenome. RNAcentral's name for it is "Lysine riboswitch". It matches the Rfam family "Lysine riboswitch aptamer". From Rfam's summary of the family: Riboswitches are metabolite binding domains within certain messenger RNAs that serve as precision sensors for their corresponding targets. Allosteric rearrangement of mRNA structure is mediated by ligand binding, and this results in modulation of gene expression. The record is from RNAcentral.